GAAUAGUAAUCACAGUUCCUACUCUGACCACCUCUUCUGAUUUGAUUUUUAGGUCUGAACUCAGCAGUGCUGCCUUUGGUGUCUUUAAAGGGCACGAUAUAACCUCUUUUAGCAAAGUGUCUCAAUGGUGGUGCAGAAGGAAGAUGCAACAGGCAUCUUGUAGAAGAGACCCUACAACUACGUGGUGUCCCUGUGAAAUGCAGAGAGGCAGCAGGGCGCAGCAUGGCACGGAUCCGUCCGCACCUAGAACUGGGAGCCAAGGUCCUCAUGAAAGGGUGGCAUAAACCUGAUUUCCCUACUUUUGGACAUGAUCGCUGAAAUAACACCGAGUUUUCUCAGCUGUUCAUGCUAAAAAAAUGUGCAAGGCAGGCCUGUAAAUGAUCAUGAACCCAGAGCUUUACUUUGGA
Melospiza melodia melodia is the source of this 407-nucleotide long non-coding RNA. RefSeq lists it as uncharacterized. The record is from RefSeq and is a predicted model, not a curated record. Lineage: Eukaryota; Metazoa; Chordata; Aves; Passeriformes; Passerellidae. The transcript has 3 exons.